RNAcentral lists this long non-coding RNA (550 nucleotides) under Urocitellus parryii (Arctic ground squirrel). RNAcentral's name for it is "lncRNA (ENSUPAG00010015880.1)". The record is from RNAcentral. Lineage: Eukaryota; Metazoa; Chordata; Mammalia; Rodentia; Sciuridae.
CUGUACUGGGCACUGGGGAAUGACAGUGGGGACAAAACAGAGGCGAGCUCCCGCCUUCCUAGACCUCCUUGCAGUAGAACCCAGGCAGAGGCUAGAAGCCAGCACUCAUUGUGGUCAGAAACAUUGUCGUCACCGUCCCUUCCUUUCUCUGGGCUGACCUUGGAACGUGGGAGCAGAAGCUGUCCAGGAUGCCAGAUGCCACCCACUCCAGCCUUAGGAGGUGCUCAGUCCAUUCCUCCUUCUGAUCUACAAGAACAGAAGAACAAAGUCUCUUUUCAUUGCAGCUUCUUUUCUCAGCCCUAAAAUAGCUUGGGCUUGCUAUCAGCAACCCUCCUUUCCAACUUUCUCAUUCAGAAGCAAAAGGUUUUUAAACCUGAGUAAGGAUCUGCUCCACGCUGUCACUUCUUUCAACUAAAGCCUGGGAAAGGAGCAUUGGAAAAGUCACGUCCAAGAUCAACCCAGAAAGCAGGCUCUGGUUUUGCUAGCGGCAGGCGGCAGUCCCAGGACGCUUCCCCGCAGUGCGCCCUUGGGCAAGCUGGCCUCCUCUCUG